GGAAGGCGCGGCUUACACAUGCAGUCGAGCGGUAACAGGGGGUGCUUGCACCCCGCUGACGAGCGGCGGACGGGUGAGUAAUGCAUAGGAAUCUGCCCAGUAGUGGGGGAUAGCCCGGGGAAACCCGGAUUAAUACCGCAUACGCCCUUUGGGGGAAAGCAGGGGAUCUUCGGACCUUGCGCUAUUGGAUGAGCCUAUGUCGGAUUAGCUAGUUGGUGGGGUAAAGGCCUACCAAGGCGACGAUCCGUAGCUGGUCUGAGAGGAUGAUCAGCCACAUCGGGACUGAGACACGGCCCGAACUCCUACGGGAGGCAGCAGUGGGGAAUAUUGGACAAUGGGGGCAACCCUGAUCCAGCCAUGCCGCGUGUGUGAAGAAGGCUUUCGGGUUGUAAAGCACUUUCAGUGAGGAGGAAAACCUUCUGGUUAAUACCCAUGAGGCUUGACGUUACUCACAGAAGAAGCACCGGCUAACUCCGUGCCAGCAGCCGCGGUAAUACGGAGGGUGCAAGCGUUAAUCGGAAUUACUGGGCGUAAAGCGCGCGUAGGUGGUUUGAUAAGCGAGAUGUGAAAGCCCCGGGCUUAACCUGGGAACGGCAUUUCGAACUGUCAG
This 610-nucleotide ribosomal RNA is filed under the name Marinobacter sp. RNAcentral's name for it is "bacterial SSU rRNA". It matches the Rfam family "Bacterial small subunit ribosomal RNA", at positions 38 to 639 of the family's 1533-position model. The record is from RNAcentral. Lineage: Bacteria; Pseudomonadati; Pseudomonadota; Gammaproteobacteria; Pseudomonadales; Marinobacteraceae.